UCUACGGGGUGGGCCAGUUUCUAAACCUAAGAAAAAAGGGGCCCCGGACCGACCAGUUUCUAAUUAUAAUCAACGGUCGAGAUUGAAUGAUAAUCUAUCAUCCAAUCUGAACCGUUAAUUUGUAACCUAGGUUUCCAAAUCAGUUUUAGUUUCAGUCUCACUCUCUCACGGUCUCACUCCCAUGCCCACCUCUCCACCGUCACUCCCUCGACUCCGAUGACAUCCCAGAGAACGGCCAUCACCGCCGCCACGACCAACACAACGACACCACCACCACCCAUCCAGUCAUCCUCUAACCUCGACGACAUCCGUUACUUCGCCGGCUAUUAUUUGGGGAGAAUAAACACACUCAAUCAGAUUGUUCAUUCGGUCCAAGCAACUUCUCCUUACUGCCUUUCUCUUGGGUGUCAAAGAAUAUGAGCAUUUGAUUGUACUGUAGGCGGAUUUCUGAACGGUUGUUUGAACUUCUGAUUUAGUUUUUUGAUCAAAUGAAGUUGUACAUUCAUGUUUAUGAUUUUCCAGUUUGUGCGAAAAUGAAGCUUUCUUAAUUGGAGCAAAUAUUUGUUCCUUAAUUUGUUGGAGGAUGACUUACCUUUACAAGUUUCAAGAACUCAUGAACCAAAAAAUGAAUGAAUAUAUUUUUUUUGUUUGUUUUUAUUUUAUAGAAGUGAACCUCUAAUUUGGAAGUGAAGAAGCUUAGAGACGCAGAAAACCAAAAUGUUACGAACUAGAUUUGAGUACCGUCGGACAAAAGUUGAGGAAUUGCCAAAUUAGCUUCUCUUGUCAAAGACGAUCUUACUUGCAAGCAUCUUAUUCUCUCAAUGGAAGAGUCCUUGGUGGACUUCCUUCAGAGUGAUACCAUUACCAAGCAUGUAAGACAAACUCCUAAGUGGUAUUAGCAUUGCCAUUUCUUAUGAGAUUAAUUUUAGAGUAAAAUAUUAAAAUUAUAUGGAGCAAGAAUGAUGCAAUUCUUUGUUUGUGCUAUCUCUAAUCAAAUCCAUUGCUUCCCACAACUAGUAUUCUAUACCUACUUGCUCAUCAUUCUGCCUCUGCAUUAAUUUUUUUGUAUUUUAGUUUAUGCAUUAAGUAACAUCAUGCAAAUAAUAUAAAAAGUUGGUUGCAACUGACUUGUUUGUUUUCAAAACUACAAGUCUUUAAUUAUGCUUAAUUCCUUUGUCAUUAGCGUAUGAGAUGCUUUCGUAAUAGGUUAGCUUUAAAAUAUGUACAAAUAUUAUAUCCUAAAUAAGUUGUGAACUAAAAUGAUGCAGUUUUGAAUCUGUGCUCUCCCUAUUUUUUGAAAUAUCUGCAAGUAAAGUGUGGCACUGAAUUAUAAAUAGAACUAUAUAUGUAUGUAUCAUUAUGGUGGUAAAAAGAAGUGUUAAAUAACGUGAUAUAUGUCAUCUAUUUUUCUUUCUUUAUUUGAUUAAUGAAUAUACUUCCAUUAUUUAAUUUUUACAGAUUUCUUUCUACAUUAUGUCUCAAAGUCAAAGUGCCCAUAGUACUAAUGUAGCAUCAUCUACGACCACAUCACCAUGUCCUCCACAACCACCAACACAAGCACAACCCACACAGUCAAAAUCAUCAAUGCCUCCCCCAAAACCCUCUUCCUCCAGACAAAAGAAAAACACCACCUAUUCCAAAGACAAAACAACCAAUUAUAUUAGCUUCACUAGAGAGAACUUCUUCUGAGAGAUCUUGGGUUUGGGAUCAUGUCACUAAGUGUACCAUCUCGGAAAUAAAAGAAGUAGAAAAUGAUGGAAAGAAAGAGAUAGAAGAGGUACAAGUAUUGAAGGCUAAGUGUAACCAUUGUAACGCCCUUUUUGCAUGUGAUACUAGUGGGGGUGGAACUAGUACUUACAUUAAACAUAUCAAUAAACAUUGCAAGUCAUAUAAACCAAUUGAUGAAUUGCAAAACGUUCUAGGCAGUUCUGGACCUUCUGGAGACCUUAAAAACAUGUUUGUUGCUAAAGGGUGGAGCCAAGAAGAGGCAGUGGAAGGUAUUGUUGAGUAUAUUGUGAUCGACGAGGUAGCUUUUAGUUGUAUAAAGAGAGGCGGAUGAUGUGCAAAGUUCAGCCUAAACAUGCAUGUUCCAUCUUAGAGAACUAUUGUGAGGAAUUUAUUCACUAUGUAUGAUAGCAUGAAAGAUUAGUUAAAAAAUGAGAUAUACAAGCAUAGAGUGAGCUUGACAACUGAUACAUGGACAAAUGUGCAAAAUCUGAACUACAUGGUGCUAAAUGUUCAUUUUGUGGAUGAUGAAUGGAAUAUGCACAAAAGGUUUCUAAACUUUUGUGUGAUUUCAAGUCAUGAAGGCAAAGAAAUAAGGAAGCUGAUUGAGCAAUGUUUGGUUGAGUAGGAGAUUGAAAAGGUGAUGUGUAUCUCAGUUGACAAUGCAUCGGCUAACAAGGUGGCAAUUGAGUAUGUUGUUCGUAAAAUACAAAAAUGGUCUAAUAGUCAUAUGAUUAUGAAUGGCAACUUUAUGCAUGUGAGGUGCUUACCUCAUAUUAUCAAAUUGGUAGUGAAAGAUGGGUUGAAAAGAUUAGAUACAAGUGUGGAUGCUCUUUGAAAUGCCGUGCAGUUUGUGAGAUCAAGUCCCCGAAUGUUUAGUUAUUUCAAGAAAUGUGUGGACAAUGCGAAGUUGGAUAGUAGGGGUCUAGUUGUUAUGGAUGUGCCUACUAGGUGGAAUAUCACAUACAUGAUGCUAGAAUCUUGCUUGAAGUUUAAAAAAGCAUUUGAAAGGAUGUCCGAAGAUGAUGAAGCCAAUAUAUACUCCACCUAUUUCAGUGAAAAUGUGCUUAAUGAUGAAGAAGAAGAAGUGGCGAGUAAAAGGAGGUUUGGACCACCUAAGGAGGAAGAUUGGGACGGUGCAGAAGUGUUUGUGGAAAUUUUGUCUUCUAUCUUAUAACCUUGAAAUUUAGUGCAAGUAAGUAUCCCACAUCUAAUACAGCUAUUCAUGAUGUCAUUGCUGUGGAAAACGAGAUUGAAAAGUUUUUUUUGCCUGAAUAUAUGCAAAUUGGAAGAAUUGUAGAGUUUGUGCUACGUGAUAUGGCAUUCAACAUAAGAGCCAAAUAUCGAAAGUAUUUUGAUUCAAUUGAGUCCCUUAAUCAAAUAUUUGUAGUUGCCCUUGUCUUAGACCUAAGGUUCAAAUUGAGGCACUACAUGCACUUCUGUAGAAAGCAAUUACAACUUCCUGAAUAAGAGAUUCAACAGAAAAGUAAUGAAGUGAAGACUUUGUUGAAGGCGAUGUGUGAUGAAUAUGCUUACCAAGCUUUCGGUUCACAAACACAACAAAAUGGUAAAGAAGAUUUAGUUCUUGACACUUCUUGUUCAAGGAUAAAACAAUCAUCUUCUAGUGUGCCAAAAGAAAAUCCAAUGAUAUUUAGUCAAGUUAUGGAUGAUUGGGAGAAGGAACUAGAAGACACCAAUGAUAAGAUAUUGCACUUGCACAUGAGGUGGAUAGGUAUCUCCUUGACACUGUAGAGAAGGCACAACAUGGUUCAUAAUUUGACAUUUUGAAAUGGUGGAAGUUGAAAGGGAGGAGCACAUAUCCCAUACUUGCUUUGAUAGCAAAAGAUGUCUUGCCAAUUCAAGUGUCAACAGUUGCCAGUAAGAGUGCAUUUAGUGGAGGAAAGAGAGUAAUUGACCCUUUUAGAUCACCUCUCCUUCCUCAAACAGUGGAGUCAUUGAUAUGCCUCCAAAACUGGUUAAGAAGUGAACCAAUUAGCAACAUUGAGUAUGAAGCAAGUCCGGCGGAACUUGAAUUUUAUCAAGAGUGUAAAGAAGGUAUCUCACCAAGUGUUCCUGAAAUUGAAGCUCCUUAAACAACUCGAACGAAUAAAGGAAAAUGAAUUGCGAUUCAAUGAGGAUUGUUGUUGGAACUUGGGCGUUGGAUGUGGUUUUGGGUGUUAAUUUGGAAUUUAUUACGGAUGUCAUGUUUAUGUUGUUUUGGAUUAUUUGAUUUUUGGACUUUGGAAUUUGGAUGUCUUGGACUUUCAGAUAUUUUGUAUGUUGAUUUGAUUUUUAGAUGUUGGACAAUGUAAUAUUGUUAUUUUGGAUGUAUUGUUAAUCUAUGAACUUGGAUGUUGGACUUUGUGUUUAAAUUGGAUGUGAAUAAUGGUGAAUUUGUGCAAAA
Molecule: long non-coding RNA, 4129 nt
Organism: Pyrus x bretschneideri (Chinese white pear)
Lineage: Eukaryota; Viridiplantae; Streptophyta; Magnoliopsida; Rosales; Rosaceae
Exons: 4
Source: RefSeq, a predicted model, not a curated record